GCCUGGGUGGCUCGGUUGGUAAAGUGUCUGACUUUGGCUUAGGUCACGAUCUCAAGGUUUGUGGGUUCGAGCCCUACAUCAGGCU
This 85-nucleotide transfer RNA is filed under the name Felis catus (domestic cat). It matches the Rfam family "tRNA". Rfam says of the family: Transfer RNA (tRNA) molecules are approximately 80 nucleotides in length. The record is from Rfam by way of RNAcentral. Lineage: Eukaryota; Metazoa; Chordata; Mammalia; Carnivora; Felidae.